This 196-nucleotide ribosomal RNA is filed under the name uncultured bacterium. RNAcentral's name for it is "partial 16S ribosomal RNA". It matches the Rfam family "Bacterial small subunit ribosomal RNA", at positions 326 to 539 of the family's 1533-position model. The record is from RNAcentral.
ACGCUCGACACCUACGAGGCAGCAGUGGGGAAUAUUGCACAAUGGGGGAAACCCUGAUGCAGCGACGCCGCGUGAGCGAAGAAGUAUUUCGGUAUGUAAAGCUCUAUCAGCAGGGAAGAAACUGACGGUACCUGACUAAGAAGCACCGGCUAAAUACGUGCCAGCAGUCGCGGUAAUCUGAGCGGGCUGGCAAGGC